This 279-nucleotide ribosomal RNA is filed under the name uncultured bacterium. Its description in RNAcentral is "partial 16S ribosomal RNA". It matches the Rfam family "Bacterial small subunit ribosomal RNA", at positions 506 to 784 of the family's 1533-position model. The record is from RNAcentral.
UGCCAGCCGCCGCGGUAAUACGAAGGGAGCUAGCGUUGUUCGGAAUUACUGGGCGUAAAGCGCGCGUAGGCGGAUUGAUCAGUCAGGGGUGAAAUCCCGGGGCUCAACCCCGGAACUGCCUUUGAUACUGCUAGUCUUGAGUUCGAGAGAGGUGAGUGGAAUUCCGAGUGUAGAGGUGAAAUUCGUAGAUAUUGGGAAGAACACCAGUGGCGAAGGCGGCUAACUGGCUCGGUACUGACGCUGAGAUGCGAAAGCGUGGGGAGCAAACAGGAUUAGAUA